This is a long non-coding RNA of Poecilia latipinna (sailfin molly), 1843 nucleotides long. RefSeq lists it as uncharacterized. The transcript has 3 exons. The record is from RefSeq and is a predicted model, not a curated record. NCBI's taxonomy places the organism in Eukaryota, Metazoa, Chordata, Actinopteri, Cyprinodontiformes, Poeciliidae.
GAAUGACAACCUGUGAAUGACAGGUUAAAACACAUUAUUUCAGUAAGAGCGAUAGGUGGCGCUCUGCUAGUUGUUGGCAGUGACAGAAUAGCUGAUAUUUCUGAUUUGAUCAGAAUUAGCUUGAGGUUCCAGUUUGCCCAACUGACUGAUUUUAAGGAUUGACUGACUCCUCCCACGUCAGCUUUCACCUCCUUUCAGCUGUUUUGGCGUCAGAGUUUCUGAUGAAGAUCUCUCUGAUAGAUUUGAGUUUUAAAGUCUUUCAGUCGAUUUACAGGAAAAUGCUGACACUAUCGCCCUCUUUCCACCGGCUCUACUUCAGCAUCUCGUCUGGGCUCGGUUUCGGACUGACCGCGUUUCCACCGGCCCAACUUGGCUCUGUAGCAGGGUGCUGCCUCCUAGUGGCGGGGGGUGUAGCGCCCCGCCUCCAGGCGCUGUGUGCUGCGCUUCGUUACGAUGCGACCUAACGCGAGUUUUUCUGAUGCAAAAGAAGAAGAAAGAGCUGAGCAAGAAAAUGCGCCGGUGGGAGGAAAGCAGGUGGCUCAAACGGUGCAGAGAAACUCUGGCUGCUUCACAGAAGUCAGAGGAAAAGUAUCCAAACCUUUCCAUGAAAACAUCUCAGAAUGAUCCUUUCUGACCCAGUCACUGUCUCCAGACUCAACACGCUGACCCUAAUCCUGAGAACGCCUGCUGAGGCUCCAGAUUUGAGCCGGUUUGCAGCCUGAAGAUGGAUCCUUCAUGAACUUCAGCUGGACGACAGAAAGACUUUAAGAAUCCGUCACGUGAAGGAAACUUGUAAAUCAUAAAUCCCUUUUAUCCUGAAUCAAGGCGGCCAAAUCACCAGCUGAUCUCUGAACACUAAAGUAUUCUACUUUUAUUUGUUCUGAUCCAGUUUAGAUUGGUUCCUGCCAUCAACAAACAGUGAGGAAGCUACUCCUCAAGCAGCACAUAUAGAGGCACAAAGUCCCUCCCUUCCCCAAAUGGGGGAAUAGUUUAGAGGCAGAUAUUUGUCUCUGAAGAUUCCACACAUCAUCUGCUGCAGCGAUUGGGCGGACCACCUGUGGGCUGGAAGAUGUCGACUGCCUGCAGCGUUUUCAUUUGGCUGUAAGGAACGAAGCCAACAAAGCGUUCCCAAUACUCCAGACUCCAUCGCGGAAUCAGUUUCUCAAAGGGAGCCGUCUCACCUGAAAGGUUUGGAUGACAAAAGUUCAUCACUGGGGCUCCGCCCCCUACCCAGACUCUCCCUCUGGCCAUUAGAUUGCUCAACAAUCCCAUCACUAAGACUGUCUGAGACUGCUUGAAAAUGCUAAGUUAUAUAUAUUUAGCAAUUUAAGUCCAAGUGUUGUAAAAUGGAGCCAUUUUGUUCCACUGCUUUGGUUCAGUUAAAGUUUAAGCAAAGCUGAGCUGAUCCUGAAAUAUUUCUCUGAAUUAUAUCUCUAUGGUUCUCUGCCCAUCAGGAGAGAGAGCAACAUGUUGACAUCUCAACACCAGACACCUAAAGACGUUAGAGUUUUACUGUUAUUGUUGCAAACUGGAGAUUAAAAAGAUGCUUCUGAAGACUUUCUGCAGCAGUGAGGGUGUUGAUCUGGUGAAGGAGCAUCUACGCUCUAACGUAGAUCAGGGGAUCUAGAUCAGAAUGGAAAGAACCAGAUCUGGAGUCCAAGUAUCUGAAGGGAGUCAGACCCUGGUCUAAUCGAGGAGCUUCAGCUGCUUCAGCUGCUGCAGGCGUUCAGAUGAAUCAUGAUGGCCAGAGGCUUAUUUCAAGGAGGAAGAUUUCUUGUUACAUGAAAACGUCUCCAUGGUAACAGUUGUGUUGUAAUUAUUUGACUCAGUCUUGCUUACACCA